RNAcentral lists this long non-coding RNA (982 nucleotides) under Coturnix japonica (Japanese quail). RNAcentral's name for it is "lncRNA (ENSCJPG00005018054.1)". Lineage: Eukaryota; Metazoa; Chordata; Aves; Galliformes; Phasianidae. The record is from RNAcentral.
CUUUCCCAGCUCAGUUCAGCAACAAUAUCUAUGGGAAACAGCUGUGACAGUUCCCUUCAGCACAAUAUCCACAGGUCCAAGCUGUUAAAACUGUGGUUAGUCUGCUUGGGCUAUUGCUGUCUGCAAUACUCUUCAUAGAAGUAAGCAUUCUGCCUGAGACUGAGCUGUGGUUACAGAAACUUUGGACAAAUGCUGCAAAACUCAGAAGCAGAUGGUACUUAAGAUAUCCUUAUUUAUUGCUCCUCAUCCAACAUUUUGACUUCAAAUGGAAAAACAAACCUGGUAGUCUGCAAGCUGAAGGUGUGGCGGGCCACUAUACUGCCUUGGCUGACGUCCCUGCUAUUCUGGGUCCUUUUGUGGCUUUUGAAAAUCCAGAAUCACCGAUGUUACAGUUGAUCUGAAUCACAGAGCAUCCUUUAAGAGCACACUGUGGAGGGAACUCAAGGUACUGUAAUGGUGUUGUAGUGGUGCUGCUGACAGCCAUAUAUGCAGCAACUCUAUAACUGUAUAAACACAUUUCUGCUCCUCUGCUGGGGAGAGGGACAGCUCAUCAACAUGUUUGGCCCAAAUUCAGAAUAACCUUUGUUUUUCUACUGCUCUAUGGCAUUUGGCAGACAAAAGAAGACUUGAAACUGGCUAAUGCUGCCUUCAUGCUCAGCAUCUUGCUGCUGUGUGGGCUAGCAGGAGGUGUUUGGCCUGAGCAGACAGUCUGGUAGUGCUCAUUGGGGUGGCCUUAUGUAUUCAUAUUCGAGGGGCAGUUGAAGCUUUGGUUUAAGAUAAAAGUCAGGACUUGGUGACUCAAAUUGCUACCCAAGCAGUAUAAAUUUAGAAAGCAGUCUAUAAUCCUCAAACCAGCAGAUGUUUCCUAUAUUUGUUGAAAAUGUCUGAUGCACAGGCUGGAAAAGAAUAUGAAAUACCUUAAGUAGUGCAGGUAAUUGUGCCAAGUCUCAUCUGAUUAAUAUAGUUAAUAUCACCACUUCUU